UUGCUGUUUAGGCAACUUGGCCCUUCCACCCUUUGGACCCUUCUAUCCUGUGGGCUUUGGAGAAUCCAAACUAACCGGGAGUAAAAGGGGUCCCCCAGCACAGCACAGCUGCUCUACCAAAAUGUGAGCAGACUGCUCCUUUAGGCAAGUCCCCAAUCCAUUCCUCCUCACUGGGCAGGACCUCCCAACCCUCACUGGAGGCCCUCCCAGGGUCUACCUGGUCCCAACCAGGGUCUAUAGCCACUUCAUACAGGUGCCUUUAGACCAGCAAUAGGUCUAUACCUUCCUGGGACAGAGCUCCCAGAGAAAGAGGCAGGCUACCAUCUUUGCUGUUUCACAGCCUUCACUGGUGAUACCUCCAGGUACUGGAAAAUCCAAGGUGACUAGAAACUGGAGUAUACCCCCAGAAACUGGAGCAGACCCCAGACAGCAGCCCUACAAAAAGAAUGAAAAGGAACAAACAAAACCAUCAAGAAAUAUGAAAUUAUAUAAAGAGACUGAAUCUAAAACCAAUUGGUGUACCUGAAAGAGAUGGAGAGAAUGGAACCAAUUUGGAAAACAUAUUUUAUGA
Molecule: long non-coding RNA, 571 nt
Filed under: Pan troglodytes (chimpanzee)
Lineage: Eukaryota; Metazoa; Chordata; Mammalia; Primates; Hominidae
Description: long non-coding RNA NONPTRT010018
Source: RNAcentral